AGCGAACGCUGGCGGCAGGCCUAACACAUGCAAGUCGAACGAACUCUUCGGAGUUAGUGGCGGACGGGUGAGUAACACGUGGGAACGUGCCUUUUGGUUCGGAAUAACUCAGGGAAACUUGUGCUAAUACCGAAUGCGCCCUUCGGGGGAAAGAUUUAUCGCCAUUAGAGCGGCCCGCGUCUGAUUAGCUAGUUGGUGAGGUAACGGCUCACCAAGGCGACGAUCAGUAGCUGGUCUGAGAGGAUGACCAGCCACACUGGGACUGAGACACGGCCCAGACUCCUACGGGAGGCAGCAGUGGGGAAUCUUGCGCAAUGGGCGAAAGCCUGACGCAGCCAUGCCGCGUGAAUGAUGAAGGUCUUAGGAUUGUAAAAUUCUUUCACCGGGGACGAUAAUGACGGUACCCGGAGAAGAAGCCCCGGCUAACUUCGU
RNAcentral lists this ribosomal RNA (432 nucleotides) under uncultured bacterium. RNAcentral describes it as "partial 16S ribosomal RNA". It matches the Rfam family "Bacterial small subunit ribosomal RNA", at positions 29 to 506 of the family's 1533-position model. The record is from RNAcentral.